Molecule: non-coding RNA, 29 nt
Filed under: Rattus norvegicus (Norway rat)
Lineage: Eukaryota; Metazoa; Chordata; Mammalia; Rodentia; Muridae
Source: RNAcentral
UCAAGGAAACAGUGUCAACUUGAUAUUUA